AACCCUUGUGGUUUUGAUGAACUGAUGAACAAACACAUAAAGACAGGUAAAGAGUAAAGCAAAAUCCAAUUUUGCAACCAAAACUCAUGGUUCAGCAUGAGUUUUUAAACAGAUAAGGAGGAAUAUG
Small nucleolar RNA from Mus caroli (Ryukyu mouse), 127 nucleotides. RefSeq annotates it as small nucleolar RNA SNORA40. NCBI's taxonomy places the organism in Eukaryota, Metazoa, Chordata, Mammalia, Rodentia, Muridae. The record is from RefSeq and is a predicted model, not a curated record.